This 420-nucleotide ribosomal RNA is filed under the name Corynebacterium coyleae. RNAcentral describes it as "bacterial SSU rRNA". It matches the Rfam family "Bacterial small subunit ribosomal RNA", at positions 923 to 1342 of the family's 1533-position model. Lineage: Bacteria; Bacillati; Actinomycetota; Actinomycetes; Mycobacteriales; Corynebacteriaceae. The record is from RNAcentral.
GCACAAGCGGCGGAGCAUGUGGAUUAAUUCGAUGCAACGCGAAGAACCUUACCUGGGCUUGACAUACACCAGAUCGGCGCAGAGAUGCUCUUUCCCUUUGUGGUUGGUGUACAGGUGGUGCAUGGUUGUCGUCAGCUCGUGUCGUGAGAUGUUGGGUUAAGUCCCGCAACGAGCGCAACCCUUGUCUUAUGUUGCCAGCACGUGAUGGUGGGGACUCAUGAGAGACUGCCGGGGUUAACUCGGAGGAAGGUGGGGAUGACGUCAAAUCAUCAUGCCCCUUAUGUCCAGGGCUUCACACAUGCUACAAUGGUCGGUACAACGCGUUUGCGAGCCUGUGAGGGUGUGCUAAUCGCUGAAAGCCGGCCUUAGUUCGGAUUGGGGUCUGCAACUCGACCCCAUGAAGUCGGAGUCGCUAGUAAU